AGACCCGAAACCCGGUGAUCUAGCCAUGGGCAGGUUGAAGGUUGGGUAACACUAACUGGAGGACCGAACCGACUAAUGUUGAAAAAUUAGCGGAUGACCUGUGGCUGGGGGUGAAAGGCCAAUCAAACCGGGAGAUAGCUGGUUCUCCCCGAAAGCUAUUUAGGUAGCGCCUCGUGAAUUCAUCUCCGGGGGUAGAGCACUGUUUCGGCUAGGGGGCCAUCCCGGCUUACCAACCCGAUGCAAACUGCGAAUACCGGAGAAUGUUAUCACGGGAGACACACGGCGGGUGCUAACGUCCGUCGUGAAGAGGGAAACAACCCAGACCGCCAGCUAAGGUCCCAAAGUCAUGGUUAAGUGGGAAACGAUGUGGGAAGGCCCAGACAGCCAGGAUGUUGGCUUAGAAGCAGCCAUCAUUUAAAGAAAGCGUAAUAGCUCACUGGUCGAGUCGGCCUGCGCGGAAGAUGUAACGGGGCUAAACCAUGCACCGAAGCUGCGGCAGCGAACGUAUCACCCAAGACAACUUUACGGAGUUGACGAUUGACGGAGCGAAGCGACGUCAAAGCGUUCAUUAAAGUCGAGUUGGCUUAGGGAUACGUUCGUUGGGUAGGGGAGCGU
Molecule: ribosomal RNA, 615 nt
Filed under: Salmonella enterica
Lineage: Bacteria; Pseudomonadati; Pseudomonadota; Gammaproteobacteria; Enterobacterales; Enterobacteriaceae
Also listed under: 1 other name
Description: partial 23S ribosomal RNA
Rfam family: Bacterial large subunit ribosomal RNA
Source: RNAcentral